RNAcentral lists this long non-coding RNA (229 nucleotides) under Malus domestica (apple). Its description in RNAcentral is "long non-coding RNA (MDOM_LNC007618)". Lineage: Eukaryota; Viridiplantae; Streptophyta; Magnoliopsida; Rosales; Rosaceae. The record is from RNAcentral.
AGCAGCCAACCAAGAUGGUGAGAAAGCGCAUGGCGUCCGAGAUCGAAGUCCAAACCACCCCGACGAUCAGAACCAUGUGGCGGAGACUGCUCUCUUCCUCUCAGCUCAAAACCUUAACCCUAGCCGCAUUCUCUGAUCUCACCCAGCUGCAGAUCUGAACGACGCCGCUAGACACCGGCACCACCGAGGAGCUCAUCCGCCUCGUCCCCUGCGCCAAGGCCAAAGGCGC